RNAcentral lists this transfer RNA (31 nucleotides) under Craugastor megacephalus. RNAcentral describes it as "partial tRNA-Met". Lineage: Eukaryota; Metazoa; Chordata; Amphibia; Anura; Craugastoridae. The record is from RNAcentral.
CAAACACGAUAACUAAUCCUAUCCUUUGCUA